This is a long non-coding RNA of Cygnus atratus (black swan), 489 nucleotides long. RefSeq lists it as uncharacterized. The transcript has 3 exons. The record is from RefSeq and is a predicted model, not a curated record. Lineage: Eukaryota; Metazoa; Chordata; Aves; Anseriformes; Anatidae.
AUACUAAUAACGGGGGAAGCUGGAGGCAGAAGAAAAAAAUGGGAUAUGCAAAACUACAAAGAAAUAGAAAACCUCAAAUAGCAAGGGUGGUGAGUCCCUGGGAAUGAAUGCUGCUUUGAAACAGACAAAAAUGGAAAUAAAUCAUCGUAGAUAUCAGAGAUGACAGCCAGGGUUACCACUCCAGCCAGAGACAGUGAAAGGAACAUAAUGGCUCCAAACCCAGAAAGGAGGGAGACCAGAUGCUACAGAAUGAGAUAAAGGAAGUUGAAGCACUAGAACAGGCAUGAUCACUUAUGCCACCCCAGCUGAAGGGCAGGAACUCCUUUGCCUGCUACAAGGUUUUCAGCAAGCAGAUACUCCAAUGCAGAGCCUGCCUUCAAACUUCAAAGAGUCCACAGAGCCCAGAGGACUGGAUAUCAGACACCCACUGUCUCCCAGGAAAGCCCAUUCCUCCUAUCUUAGUGAGGAGGGAGCAAGCUGAGGCACAGG